GGUUAAGCGACUAAGCGUACACGGUGGAUGCCCUGGCAGUCAGAGGCGAUGAAGGACGUGCUAAUCUGCGAUAAGCGCCGGUAAGGUGAUAUGAACCGUUAUAACCGGCGAUUUCCGAAUGGGGAAACCCAGUGUGACUCGUCACACUAUCAUUAACUGAAUCCAUAGGUUAAUGAGGCGAACCGGGGGAACUGAAACAUCUAAGUACCCCGAGGAAAAGAAAUCAACCGAGAUUCCCCCAGUAGCGGCGAGCGAACGGGGAGGAGCCCAGAGCCUGAAUCAGCAUGUGUGUUAGUGGAAGCGUCUGGAAAGGCGCGCGAUACAGGGUGACAGCCCCGUACACAAAAGCGCAUGUGCUGUGAGCUCGAUGAGUAGGGCGGGACACGUGGUAUCCUGUCUGAAUAUGGGGGGACCAUCCUCCAAGGCUAAAUACUCCUG
This 438-nucleotide ribosomal RNA is filed under the name Salmonella enterica subsp. enterica serovar Give. RNAcentral's name for it is "partial 23S ribosomal RNA". It matches the Rfam family "Bacterial large subunit ribosomal RNA", at positions 1 to 478 of the family's 2925-position model. Lineage: Bacteria; Pseudomonadati; Pseudomonadota; Gammaproteobacteria; Enterobacterales; Enterobacteriaceae. The record is from RNAcentral.